GAUAAAGUGGCUGAAGUUUUAGGUAAUAAAUUGUAAAUUUAUUUAUGGUUAAUAACCCUUUAUCA
RNAcentral lists this transfer RNA (65 nucleotides) under Megacopta cribriella. RNAcentral describes it as "tRNA-Tyr". The record is from RNAcentral. Lineage: Eukaryota; Metazoa; Arthropoda; Insecta; Hemiptera; Plataspidae.